GAACUGUGAAAGUUUAAGUAAUUUAUUGGGCUAUUAUUUGGGAUUUCGUCGCCUAUGCUUGUGCCGAUGUGGUGUGCAACAAGGUCCCAAAACUGGAAUACAUAGUCGAAUGCUUGGAGGAGAAACGAUUCAGCCUUUGCAAAUGCCGUGGUUGGUUUAUAUUCACACAAACAAAACAUUUACUGGAACUCUUAUAUCUAACAGGCAUGUCGUCACAGCUGCCUCUAAUGUCCAUGACAUAUUACCAUCAAAAGUAUCAGUGACUUUGGGAUCGAAUGGACUUUGUGAUAAAGCGUCAUCAGCGUUCAAUGCGAGUGUUGAGGCAAUAUUAAU
Long non-coding RNA from Pieris brassicae (large cabbage white), 333 nucleotides. RefSeq lists it as uncharacterized. The record is from RefSeq and is a predicted model, not a curated record. Lineage: Eukaryota; Metazoa; Arthropoda; Insecta; Lepidoptera; Pieridae. The transcript is spliced from 3 exons.